Molecule: non-coding RNA, 528 nt
Filed under: Schistocephalus solidus
Lineage: Eukaryota; Metazoa; Platyhelminthes; Cestoda; Diphyllobothriidea; Diphyllobothriidae
Description: Eukaryotic large subunit ribosomal RNA
Rfam family: Eukaryotic large subunit ribosomal RNA
Source: Rfam by way of RNAcentral
GCCCUGAUGUGGCCCCCGUGUUGGUCCAACGCAUCUACCACGUGGCCCGUUUAGGGGGCACACCACCACUUACACACACAACACACAAAAACAAUUCAAAAUUUGGGAAUGGAAGGCUCGAACUUCCAAACGUUAGUCAAGAGCAGAAGUCUAACCGCCUGUGGCGCUUAUUUCGUUGUCUCGCCUUCAAGCUCUGAACCACCAGGACCGCUAAGACCCGAAAGAUGGUGAACAAUGCGUGUGUAGGUUUAAGCUUAAGGAAGCUCUGUUUGAAGACCGCAGCGAUUCUGACGUGCAAAUCGAUCAUCAAAUCUGAGUAUAGGGGGCGAAAGACUAAUCGAACCCUCUAGUAGAUAGUUCCCUCCGACGGUUCCCUCAGGAUAGCUGUCACUCAUUCGCAUGAUCAGUUUUAUCGAGUAAAGCAAAUGCUUAUAAAUAAUGGGGUCGAAACGAGCUCAACCUAUUCUCAAACUUUGAAUUGAUAAGGUGCCCGGCUCGCUUUAUAGGAGUCGGGCGCUCAACGUGCAA